RNAcentral lists this unclassified non-coding RNA (209 nucleotides) under soil metagenome. RNAcentral describes it as "partial contains 5.8S ribosomal RNA, internal transcribed spacer 2, and large subunit ribosomal RNA". The record is from RNAcentral.
AACCUAGCACACCUGCGGUGUGUACCUGCGGAGGGAUCAUUACCGAGUUUACAACUCCCAAACCCCUGUGAACAUACCUAUACGUUGCCUCGGCGGAUCAGCCCGCGCCCUGUAAAAAGGGACGGCCCGCCCGAGGACCCUAAACUCUGUUUUUAGUGGAACUUCUGAGUAAAACAAACAAAUAAAUCAAAACUUUUAACAAUGGAUCU